UUUUACAGGUGGAGGACACUCACAUUUUCUCUCCUCAUCUUUUCUGGCUAUUUUUUUUAACCAGCUUUGCAUUUGUGUAGGGUCAGUGUCACUACAGGUAGCAUGAGGUAAUACCUGGACCCUACAGAAACUGCAGAGGUAGUCCGACCUAAAUCCAAUAGACGACCUCUGGCACAUCAUGUGUCAGUCCAUCCCACACUGCCAGGUUCCACCUCAGACCGUGCAGGAGCUCAAUGAUGCCCUGGUCCAGCUCUGGGAGGAGAACCACAGGACACCAUCCUUCAGAAGAAGCCCUGAUGUCGUCAGACAUGCAUAAACUUGAGGAACAAAGCGUGACAGCAAAUAUGCAAACUUCUGCCAAUUCGCUCUUUACAUAAUGAACAGCUUGUUUUGUGAAGUUUGGCAACUUCUCUGCAGAGAUGCUCAUGGCUCAGACAUGAGAUAAAUGAAUGGACGUCAUCCCCCCCAGAGAAACAGAAGAAACAGAGAAAUACUCAGUUAGUUAAACUGCUCCAAUUUAAAU
Molecule: long non-coding RNA, 523 nt
Organism: Oreochromis aureus
Lineage: Eukaryota; Metazoa; Chordata; Actinopteri; Cichliformes; Cichlidae
Exons: 3
Source: RefSeq, a predicted model, not a curated record